GUCUGCUUUGGCAGCACGUAUGCUAAAAUUUGCACAAUGCAGAGCAUAGCAUGGCCCCUGCUCAAGAAUGACACACAAAUUCAUAAAGCAUUACAUAUUUAA
This is a small nuclear RNA of Manis javanica (Malayan pangolin), 102 nucleotides long. NCBI's taxonomy places the organism in Eukaryota, Metazoa, Chordata, Mammalia, Pholidota, Manidae. The record is from RefSeq and is a predicted model, not a curated record.